GGUGGGAUAGCUGGGUCAAAUGGUGGUUCCAUUCCCAAUUUUCCAAGAAAUCUCCAUACUGCUUUCGAGAUUGCUUACACCAAUUUGCAAUCCCACCAGCAAU
This 103-nucleotide microRNA precursor is filed under the name Marmota monax (woodchuck). Lineage: Eukaryota; Metazoa; Chordata; Mammalia; Rodentia; Sciuridae. The record is from RNAcentral.